UAUAAAAAUAUUUAAUUAUUAUUUUAAAUUUAAUAUCGAAAUUGUUAUUUUACCGUUUUAUUUAACAUAUUAUAUAUAAUUUAUAAAUAUAUUCGUAUUUAUUUAUUUAAAAAACGAAUUAUAAACGGUUUUAUAUAAAUAUAUAAAUACCGGUAUUCCGGUAUUUACCCGUUUAAAUUUCGUUAUUGCGAUUCGAAUAAAUCGUUUUCGAUUUACAAAUUAAUUUAACGGUAAAUUAAUAUAUUUUUUUUUAAUUUAACGUUAUUAGCAAACGGUUUUUACAAUUGGUUACGUAAUAAACGGUUUUUAAAAUAUAAAUUUAUUUUUUAUUAACGGUACCAAAAUAUUCGCCAAAUUGCAUAACCACGUUACGGUAAUAAAUAUAUCGCGAUAUCCGGAUUUUUUUUUUACCGUUAAAUAAUUUUUACGGGCCAAAUAUGCGGUAAACCGUAUAACGGUUAAAACGCAUUAUUUUAAUUUAAAUACCGUUAAUAUUAUUUCGAAUUUACAAACCGUUAUUAACGAAAUAAUUAUUUUAUAAUAACGCGUAACCCAAAAAUAAAUAAAUAAAUAAAAACGCCUUUAACGCGUUUUACAUUAUAAAAUUAAAAUAACGUUAAAAUUAAAAAACAAAUAAUUCCAAACCGUUAAUACGUUAAAAAAUAUGCGGGUCGUUUAUAAAACCAAAUAAACGUUAAUCGAAAAAAUAACCCUAUAUUAAUAAAAAAAAUUCGUUAAAAAUAUAUAAUAUAAAAAUAAAAAUUAAAUUAUUUAAUAUUGGCGAAAAAUAAAAAAUAUAUUUAACGGAAUUAAAAUAUAAUAGAAAAAAUAUUUGGAAAAUUU
Molecule: small RNA, 843 nt
Filed under: Pyricularia oryzae
Lineage: Eukaryota; Fungi; Ascomycota; Sordariomycetes; Magnaporthales; Pyriculariaceae
Description: Magnaporthe oryzae sRNA M_BR32_EuGene_00031871
Source: RNAcentral